Molecule: transfer RNA, 73 nt
Filed under: Camelus bactrianus (Bactrian camel)
Lineage: Eukaryota; Metazoa; Chordata; Mammalia; Artiodactyla; Camelidae
Also listed under: 2 other names
Rfam family: tRNA
About the family: Transfer RNA (tRNA) molecules are approximately 80 nucleotides in length.
Source: Rfam by way of RNAcentral
GAGGGUCUAGCUCAAAUGGUAGAGUACAUGCUUAGCAUGCUGGAGGUCCUAGGUUCAAUCCCCAGCACCUUCU